This 467-nucleotide ribosomal RNA is filed under the name Stenotrophomonas maltophilia. RNAcentral describes it as "bacterial SSU rRNA". It matches the Rfam family "Bacterial small subunit ribosomal RNA", at positions 56 to 513 of the family's 1533-position model. The record is from RNAcentral. Lineage: Bacteria; Pseudomonadati; Pseudomonadota; Gammaproteobacteria; Lysobacterales; Lysobacteraceae.
UGCAGUCGAACGGCAGCACAGGAGAGCUUGCUCUCUGGGUGGCGAGUGGCGGACGGGUGAGGAAUACAUCGGAAUCUACUUUUUCGUGGGGGAUAACGUAGGGAAACUUACGCUAAUACCGCAUACGACCUACGGGUGAAAGCAGGGGAUCUUCGGACCUUGCGCGAUUGAAUGAGCCGAUGUCGGAUUAGCUAGUUGGCGGGGUAAAGGCCCACCAAGGCGACGAUCCGUAGCUGGUCUGAGAGGAUGAUCAGCCACACUGGAACUGAGACACGGUCCAGACUCCUACGGGAGGCAGCAGUGGGGAAUAUUGGACAAUGGGCGCAAGCCUGAUCCAGCCAUACCGCGUGGGUGAAGAAGGCCUUCGGGUUGUAAAGCCCUUUUGUUGGGAAAGAAAUCCAGCUGGUUAAUACCCGGUUGGGAUGACGGUACCCAAAGAAUAAGCACCGGCUAACUUCGUGCCAGCA